AUUGAACGCUGGCGGCAUGCCUUACACAUGCAAGUCGAACGGCAGCACGGGAGCAAUCCUGGUGGCGAGUGGCGAACGGGUGAGUAAUAUAUCGGAACGUGCCCAGUCGUGGGGAUAACGUAGCGAAAGCUACGCUAAUACCGCAUACGAUCUAUGGAUGAAAGCGGGGGAUCGCAAGACCUCGCGCGAUUGGAGCGGCCGAUAUCAGAUUAGGUAGUUGGUGAGGUAAAGGCUCACCAAGCCGACGAUCUGUAGCUGGUCUGAGAGGACGACCAGCCACACUGGGACUGAGACACGGCCCAGACUCCUACGGGAGGCAGCAGUGGGGGAAUUUUUGGGACAAUGGGCGCAAGCCUGAUCCAGCAACGCCGCGUGCAGGAUGAAGGCCU
This 389-nucleotide ribosomal RNA is filed under the name uncultured bacterium. RNAcentral describes it as "bacterial SSU rRNA". It matches the Rfam family "Bacterial small subunit ribosomal RNA", at positions 30 to 417 of the family's 1533-position model. The record is from RNAcentral.